UGGGGAAUUUUGGACAAUGGGCGCAAGCCUGAUGCAGCAACGCCGCGUGAGGGAUGACGGCCUUCGGGUUGUAAACCUCUUUUAGUAGGGAAGAAGCGAAAGUGACGGUACCUGCAGAAAAAGCACCGGCUAACUACGUGCCAGCAGCCGCGGUAAUACGUAGGGUGCGAGCGUUGUCCGGAAUUAUUGGGCGUAAAGAGCUCGUAGGCGGUCUGUCGCGUCUGCUGUGAAAACCCGAGGCUCAACCUCGGGCCUGCAGUGGGUACGGGCAGACUAGAGUGCGGUAGGGGAGAAUGGAAUUCCUGGUGUAGCGGUGGAAUGCGCAGAUAUCAGGAGGAACACCGAUGGCGAAGGCAGUUCUCUGGGCCGUAACUGACGCUGAGGAGCGAAAGCGUGGGGAGCGAACAGGAUUAGAUACCCUGGUAGUCCACGCCGUAAACGUUGGGCGCUAGAUGUGGGGACCAUUCCACGGUUUCCGUGUCGCAGCUAACGCAUUAAGCGCCCCGCCUGGGGAGUACGGCCGCAAGGC
Molecule: ribosomal RNA, 529 nt
Filed under: uncultured bacterium
Lineage: Bacteria
Description: partial 16S ribosomal RNA
Rfam family: Bacterial small subunit ribosomal RNA
Source: RNAcentral